This 149-nucleotide unclassified non-coding RNA is filed under the name soil metagenome. RNAcentral's name for it is "partial internal transcribed spacer 1". The record is from RNAcentral.
UCCUAAAGUAAGUAGGGCUUGCCUGCUAAGCCUCGUCUACACCAUGUCUUUUGAGUACCUUCUGUUUCCUCGGCGGCGCAAGCCCGCCGAUUGGACAAUUAAAACCAUUUUGUCAGUUGCAAUCAGCGUCUGAAAAAACUUAAUAUUUA